AGUGAACGCUGGCGGUAGGCCUAACACAUGCAAGUCGAACGGCAGCACAGUAAGAGCUUGCUCUUACGGGUGGCGAGUGGCGGACGGGUGAGGAAUACAUCGGAAUCUACUUUUUCGUGGGGGAUAACGUAGGGAAACUUACGCUAAUACCGCAUACGACCUACGGGUUAAAGCAGGAGAUCUUCGGACCUUGCGCGAUUGAAUGAGCCGAUGUCGGAUUAGCUAGUUGGCGGGGUAAAGGCCCACCAAGGCGACGAUCCGUAGCUGGUCUGAGAGGAUGAUCAGCCACACUGGAACUGAGACACGGUCCAGACUCCUACGGGAGGCAGCAGUGGGGAAUAUUGGACAAUGGGCGCAAGCCUGAUCCAGCCAUACCGCGUGGGUGAAGAAGGCCUUCGGGUUGUAAAGCCCUUUUGUUGGGAAAGAAAAGCAGCAGGUUAAUACCCCGCUGUUCUGACGGUACCCAAAGAAUAAGCACCGGCUAACUUCGUG
Molecule: ribosomal RNA, 492 nt
Filed under: uncultured bacterium
Lineage: Bacteria
Description: partial 16S ribosomal RNA
Rfam family: Bacterial small subunit ribosomal RNA
Source: RNAcentral